GGAAUAUUGCACAAUGGGGGAGACCCUGAUGCAGCGACGCCGCGUGAGCGAAGAAGUAUUUCGGUAUGUAAAGCUCUAUCAGCAGGGAAGAAAAAUGACGGUACCUGAGUAAGAAGCACCGGCUAAAUACGUGCCAGCAGCCGCGGUAAUACGUAUGGUGCAAGCGUUAUCCGGAUUUACUGGGUGUAAAGGGAGCGCAGGCGGUGCGGCAAGUCUGAUGUGAAAGCCCGGGGCUCAACCCCGGGACUGCAUUGGAAACUACCGAACUAGAGUGUCGGAGAGGUAAGUGGAAUUCCUAGUGUAGCGGUGAAAUGCGUAGAUAUUAGGAGGAACACCAGUGGCGAAGGCGGCUUACUGGACGAUAACUGACGCUGAGGCACGAAGGCCAGGGGAGCGAAA
RNAcentral lists this ribosomal RNA (399 nucleotides) under uncultured bacterium. Its description in RNAcentral is "bacterial SSU rRNA". It matches the Rfam family "Bacterial small subunit ribosomal RNA", at positions 358 to 773 of the family's 1533-position model. The record is from RNAcentral.